RNAcentral lists this ribosomal RNA (258 nucleotides) under uncultured bacterium. RNAcentral describes it as "partial 16S ribosomal RNA". It matches the Rfam family "Bacterial small subunit ribosomal RNA", at positions 96 to 354 of the family's 1533-position model. The record is from RNAcentral.
CGGCGGACGGGUGAGUAACGCGUGGGUAACCUGCCUUAUACAGGGGGAUAACAGUUAGAAAUGACUGCUAAUACCGCAUAAGCGCACAGUACCGCAUGGUACGGUGUGAAAAACUCCGGUGGUAUAAGAUGGACCCGCGUCUGAUUAGCCAGUUGGCGGGGUAACGGCCCACCAAAGCGACGAUCAGUAGCCGACCUGAGAGGGUGACCGGCCACAUUGGGACUGAGACACGGCCCAAACUCCUACGGAAGGCAGCAG